This 3262-nucleotide long non-coding RNA is filed under the name Centruroides sculpturatus (bark scorpion). Its description in RNAcentral is "uncharacterized LOC111632033, transcript variant X2". The record is from RNAcentral. Lineage: Eukaryota; Metazoa; Arthropoda; Arachnida; Scorpiones; Buthidae.
AACACUCUUGUGUUCAAUAGUAAAUAAAUUGACAGUGAUGUGAAAAUUAAUCAUGAAAUUUACAUUCAAGAUGUUCUUGAAGCUGCUCUUCUUCCUUGGUCCAAGUCCCACUUUGACAACCAGAAAUAGAUUUUCCAGCGAGACAGUGCACUGGAAAGCAGAAAUCCAGGCUUGGUUUGGUAAUAAUGGAAUUGACUUUAUCCCAUGGUCUGAAUGGUCACCAUAUAGCUCAGACCCAACCCCAUCAACUAUAGCUUGUCAAUAUUGGCAAGCAUAGCUAUGCUAUACACCAAAACUUGGAUUUCCUGUGGGGUGUCCUCAUCUGUCAAUAGUAUAAAAUAUCUGUCAAGGAAGUACAAGCCAUCUGUAACAGCUUUAUGAAGCAUCUGUAUCAAGGCAUGUGAAGGUUUCUUGGAGAAAUAUAAAUCUGACAGAAAAAGUUAGAUAUAAAUAACCAGAUUAAACCACAGAAAAUACAAUAGAAAUGAAUUUUCAUAAAAGAUUAAAAGGACAAGUCACUGCAUGAUAGCUCAAAGAGAGCUGGAGCAGCACAACUACUAGCAAAUGCAGGCAGCUUUGCAAAAUGGGAGAGGGAAACAAACAGUGAUGCUUACAAAAAGGAAAAUUUGGAGAGUGGCAAACACCUGAAACAUCAAUGGGAAAUGGAUGAAAGAGAAACCCAUCCUUGUCGCUGCCACAGUACAAUUUACCCUGGAAAAACUAAAAUGCACUAAACAAUAUCUAAAGAAAAAUAGAAUUUUCUGAAGAUAUAUUCCAAUAAUCCUUUUUGAAUAUAUUUAUUUUCAAGAAGGAUGGAUUUGGAGGAAAGGUUGAGAAAAUUGCUUGAGCAGAGAGAGAGAGACACAUUGAAGAUAUACAGUUUUUUAAAUAACGUCUAUGCGAAGAAACCAUCCCAAGAACACUUCAACUGAGAAAAUCAAUUAGAAGAGAUAUCCACAAAGAAGAAGUAUGGAAAAUAGAAAGAAUGAUAAUAAAAUCAGUUAUCAGAAAGAAAGGUAAAACAAUUCGUUUUAUGUCUAAGCAGAUUAAGGAUAUUAAAAAGAAGUUGAAUAAAAAGUUAAGGUUACAAACUUUUAAUAAUAGGAAAUAUAUAAAAAAUAAAAAUGCUAAAUUGUUAAAAUUAUUUGAUUAUACAUUAGAAAACGAAAAAAUAGAAUGGCAGAAAAAUUUUGUUCUUAAUUUGUCUACAAGGAAAAUGCCAGAAGAUUAUAUACGUUUCUUGUCAUAUGGUGUUAGUAUGAUUUACCUUUCUUUAAUAGAGUAAUAGAUACAAUAGCAGAUAUGAAUGUGCAAUGUUUCAAUGUAACCUUAAAAAAGGAGAGGAAAUUAAAAUUAAGAUAAGUGAAGAUUUGAAGAAGUUUAAUACCAAGAAAGGUUAUAUUAUGGAUUAUAAAGCAAGAUACUAAAUACUAUAGGUAAAUAUUAUAUUUUUAAAGAAUUUUUUAAUUCUAUAAUCUUUGCCUAAUAAAAGCAGACAAAUCACACCAAAUAGUAGUAAUGAAUUUACAAGAUUUAGAAGACAGGAAACAGGAAAUUAUAUUGCAAGGAAAUUUUGAAAAACUUGAAAGAGAUCCAUUCAUCGAAAUACAACAAAGGCUAUCCAAAAAAUUAAAGAAAUUAGUAAAUGAAGGCUACAUCUCAAUACAUCAAAGUAAGAAAUCCUCCCUAAGGAAAAUAUAAGGAUUCCUAAGUUAAACAUUAGAAUUAAAACACAAAAUCAAACAGAGGAAGUGCCGACCAAUCAUUAAGUCUACGUUUUUAAUAAAUACUUCUAAGUUAUAUAAUAAGUCGUUGCAGGUUAUUCCAAAUUCAGAAUACAGCAUAAAAAAUGCAGAGGAGUCAAUAUCAAAAUUAGAAAAAGAAGAAAUUUUGCCUGAAUAUAACAUUGAUAGACUCUGUAUAAUCAUAUUAUUAUUAAUAGAAGAGUACAUGUAAGUAUGGAGUUUCAAAUUAUUUAAGAGAGAUAAUUAUUAGCCAGUACAAAACUAAUUAUUUUACAGUAAAGAAAACUUUUAUUGCCAAAUUGAUGGCAUUUCCAUGGGUUCAGUAAUUGAACCAAAACUAGCAGAAAUCUACAUGCUAGAUAUGGACAAAACUUUAUCAAACCUAACGGGCAUUAUAUUUUUUGCAAGGUAUAUUGAUGACAUAUUGAUUAUAUAUAAUAGUGUAAUAAUGACACUUAUUCAAAUAUUAAAUUCACCCAAGAAUCUGAGAAGUAUGAUAAAAUAAUUUAUUUAGAUAUAAUGAUUACACAAUUUAUAGAUUGUCUUGAAUAUUGUAAAUUUGAAAAACGAUGUAGUGCUAAAAAAGUAAUUAACUUUAAAUCAUAUUGCCCUAUAAAUCAAAAACGUAAUAUAUAUUUAAUGGAAAUAAGAAAGAUAUUUUCCAGAACAACAAAAACAGAUAUAAGAGAACAGGAAAUAAAAGCAAGAAGUAUAUUCUAAAUGGGUAUCCAAAGAAAAUAUUAAAUAAUUGGUAUAACCAAUUCAUAUCAAAUAGAUAUAAAGUGAAAGAGAAACAAGAAACAAAACAGUACAUAUCAUUUCCUUAUAUAAAAGGCAUAUAUGAAAAAUAUAAUAAAAUUCUUAAUCAAAAUUUAAUUAAACUGGCUUCAACUCAAAAUAAUAGGUUGUCCAAUCUGAUGGUUAUAAGAAGUAUUAAAAAGGACCCAUUAGAAGAAGAAGGCAUGAUCUACAGACUCAAAUGCACAUGUAAUAUUCCAAGUUUCUGUAUUGGUGAAAUGAAGAGAAAACUGAAGACCAGAUUGUUGGAACAUUUAGCAGCUGUAAGAUUAAAAAUUAAUAAUUCUCCUAUCUUUCAUCAUUGUAGUAUUAAUAAUUGUGAAAUUAGCAUUAACUUUUCUUUUUACAUUAUUUUUUUCCUUAUAAACAAUUUUUACAUUAUUAAAGAACAUUUUGCCAUAGUUAUGCAAAAUAAUACAGUUAAUUUAAAUACGGAUGUGUUGACAGCUUCAUACCGGGAGACUUUUGUCAGAUAUGUAAAUGGAAAUUCGUAAUGUAAAUCCAUAAUGGAAUAUUGUCAAGAGUUUAAAACUGUAUGUUGAUAACCCUACUGAGGAGGCCUAUUUUUUUGGUGAAAUGCAUUUAGGGUACUUAACAAUGUAAUAAAGUGUUUUAUAUGAUUGGGUUUGCUUUUACCUUUUUUAACUUUAUAUCAAUAAUGAAAUAAAAAUUAAUGUUUUAGAAUUUUAAAGUUAUCUACCCUCUGUAAGUCAGAACAA